Panicum virgatum (switchgrass) is the source of this 788-nucleotide long non-coding RNA. RefSeq lists it as uncharacterized. The transcript has 2 exons. The record is from RefSeq and is a predicted model, not a curated record. Lineage: Eukaryota; Viridiplantae; Streptophyta; Magnoliopsida; Poales; Poaceae.
CUCUUCCCCUCCUCUUUUCUUCUCUGGAUCCACCUAGCUCCGCCCGCAGGACGAGCCGCUCCCGCCCCCGACGCUUGUCCUCCACCUCCGAUCUGUGGUGGUGGCCGAAGAGCGUGGCGAGGACCAAGAACUUCCCCGCGCGCCGCUUCUCGUACUCAUAGCCGAUGUCGCCCUCCUCGAGCGCGCCGCUGCCGCCGUAGGCCGGCCCCACCUGCGGUGUCUGGAAGAAGAGUAGGCUCGGGUGGUGCCUAAGCGCGCCGCCCGCGCCCGCGGCGUCCGACUUCCUACGGGACAGGUUUAUACAAUUCGGAGACACAGGGCAAGAUCUUGGAAGGUGUACAAGCUUUGCUGGUUUGCACUAGCAAAAUGAUGGCGAACCAACCGACGGCACCGGCAAGAGCAAGACUUCUUCCCCCGGACUCAGAUGAGCCUUCGGACGAUGAAGAAGCUGGUUAAGAAGGAUCUGGAUGCGAGCUCUGCUUGUGUUCUGCUUUACAUCUGUCUUUUGCCCUUAUGUUUGGGGUUUUCACUGAAACUUGAAGUCUGUGUUGUGACUCUGCUGUGAUCUGGGAGCCCGGAUCAGAACCAGAUAGUUUCUCCUAGGCUGUUUCAGUCCUAGUUGCCCCCUUUUCUUCCUUUAGCUCCUUUCUGCCAUCUGGUGACUUGUUUCUGUAAACUUUAGAAUUUCCGUUCAUGUAAUGGAAAUGGGUUUUCCUCGUGUCGAAAAAAAAUGUAUCUAAGGAUCACCAAUUUACAUUCAAAUAUAACAUCUCUCAACAUGGGCACUA